UGUUAGUCUGUUCAUGUAUAGUUUUCUUCAUUAAAGAACCAUGAAUAGAAACCACGCUGCAUUUUUGUCCGACUCUCCUUCACCUCAAGAAAAACGUUAGUGCCGAGGAACAAACCAGGCAUCUAUGGAAACGUCACCUUCUUCCUAGGCUGGAUCUAUGAACAAAUGCAGAAAUAAAGAAACUGAGAAAUCACUGGUGGACAAUCAGAAUGAAAUGGUGGAAACAUUGUAUUUUUUUCUGAAUAGAAAAGCCAGAAAGAGAUGUUUGUACGUACAGUGUGUCAUCAGAAAUGCAAUAUUUGUGCUACAUAUUGAAUUUGUCAUAUGUAUGUAUGUAUUCAUUAAAUGACCACUUCUACAUCCUGA
Long non-coding RNA from Oncorhynchus kisutch (coho salmon), 366 nucleotides. RefSeq lists it as uncharacterized. The transcript is spliced from 2 exons. Lineage: Eukaryota; Metazoa; Chordata; Actinopteri; Salmoniformes; Salmonidae. The record is from RefSeq and is a predicted model, not a curated record.